AACAAAUCGGUUUCACUUAGCUGUGAAUUAAAAGGGAAUCAGGUGCAAAUCCUGAACAGUCCCGCUGCUGUCAGAAAAAAGUCCGUUGUAAAUAUGUCACUGGCUUAUCCGCCGGGAAGGCUACACCGGACGUUGCUGUUUCGCUGAAUUUUCGAGUCAGAAGACCUGCCGAUUUAU
Molecule: non-coding RNA, 177 nt
Filed under: human gut metagenome
Source: RNAcentral